UUCCCGCCCCCCGACAGAGACGUCCUGCAAAUGCUCUCCGGCGCCAUCUCCAGCGCGAGCGGCGACGGCCUCCUCUUCCUCUCCGUCCUAAACGCGCGCUUCACCCCUCCCGCCGCCGGCGAGCAGGGCGCCGGUCGUGCGAGCACGCACCCCGCCGUCUUCGACCCCGCCCACGCGCCCCGCGUCACACGCCUCGUCUGCAACCCUCUCACCCGCGAGCCAUCCCGCCUCCCGGACUUCGUCUCCGACCCCAAGUACGAUUUCAUGCUUGCCACCCAGAUGUACAUGGGCGUGGUCACCCAAGCAGACCGCGGGCAGGGGGCACCGGACAGGUUCGUCGCUGCCUUGCUGAACGGGGAGGAGAUGCUCCGAUUCCGUUCGGAAGCAGGGGAGUGGGAGGCCGUGACGCUCUCGCCGUGCUUUUUCCCACUUCCGCGGCCGCGGAGAGUGACGCUGGACCAGGAGACGGUGGCAUUCGGCGGCCGCCUGUGGUGGGUCGACUUGUCCUGGGGCGCACUCUCCGCCGACCCGUUCAGCGACCGGCCGGAGCUCUCCUUCGUCGAGCUGCCGAGGGGCAGCGUGCUGCCUGAAGGCGCGCAGGACCAAGCGAGGAUGCACACACCCUUCAGGUACCGGCGCUUGGGUGUCAGCCAAGGGCGGCUGCGCUACGUCGAGGUCUCUCGGGAGGAACCGUUCCUUCUCAGCUCCUUCGUGCUCGACGACGAGGGCAGCGGCUGGAUGCAGGAGCACCGGGUGGUGCUCAACAAGCUCUGGGCGAGCCACAUGUCCCUGCCCUUACAGCAGGGGGCGACGACACGCAUUGUCCUCAUUGACCCAGUUAAUGCCAACCUCGUUUACCUCGCAGUUGACACGCUAGCCGUCGUCGCCGUGGACAUGGACAGGGAGGAGGUGAUUGGGAGUUAUCCGUACACCGACGUCGCCUGCAUACCAUGUGUUCUUCCACCCUGGCUCGGAUCAAGCCGGAUCCCUUGUGCAGGA
RNAcentral lists this ribosomal RNA (999 nucleotides) under Triticum aestivum (bread wheat). RNAcentral's name for it is "partial small subunit ribosomal RNA". The record is from RNAcentral. Lineage: Eukaryota; Viridiplantae; Streptophyta; Magnoliopsida; Poales; Poaceae.